RNAcentral lists this long non-coding RNA (6153 nucleotides) under Capsicum annuum. RNAcentral's name for it is "long non-coding RNA (CANN_LNC003725)". Lineage: Eukaryota; Viridiplantae; Streptophyta; Magnoliopsida; Solanales; Solanaceae. The record is from RNAcentral.
UGAGAAACAAGAUCACAGACAACAUGCGAUGUUAUGAAUGUAGCAGGCUUAUCUGAGGAGCUAGAGAAAAAGUGGUGGGAGUAUUGAGAUGCUUUUGGCUUGGAAUGAAUUCUGAGUCAUGUUGCGGUGCAUCAACAAUAGUAGAAAACUACGUUCUGAUUUUGGUGGAAAACUCGAGGUAUUUGUAGGAUCAAUAAAGGAAAAUGGAGGAGGAGGCAACCCACUGGCCCAAACUCGAUGCAUUUCUGUCAUUUGUUGUCUUAGCCUCCUAAUCUCUUGCUUCAAACUCUCAUUUUCCUGAUUCUUUAUUUUAUCCAUGAUGUCACUCUCUAUAUCUUUGUUGGACACAACUAACAGUUUGGAUUUGGUGUGAUGUGAAGGACCAGCCAGAAUGCCACAAACCAACCACCUUAAACUGACUUAACAAAAAAAACAACAAAUGUGUUAGAGUUCAACACUUUUUCAAAACCUCUUUUUCAUUUUUUUUUUGAAAAGAUCACCGAACCCAAGAAGAGAGCCUAUGUAUAUCACUCCCGAGAUAGGAGAAUCAGGUGUGCGUUGUUCGUGAAGUCUUGCCAAAAUGGCCAACUAAACUAUUUUUCCUUUAUUUUUUUUUCUUGAAACUUUAAAAAGAAAAGGAAAUAACAAAUUGUCAAAAGAAUUGACGAAAAUCUUUUUGUAUUUUUCAAGUUUAAACUCCCUAUACAAAAUGAAACCUAUGAUUACCAAAGAAAAAUCUUUUUGAGUUUUCGAUUUUGAAUUUCAUAUGAAAAUGAAACUUGAACCUAUUAAAGGAAAAAUCUUUCUUAAAGUUUUCUUUUAAAGAUGUAUAUGAAACACCUACUCUAAUAAAGAGUGAAGAAAAUCUUUCUUUUUUUUUAAUUUUUCAAAUAAGAUCCCCGAACCAACAAUAGACUGCCUACGUAUCUCACUCCCGAGAGAGGAGAAUCAGGGGUGCAUAGUUCGUCCAGAUUGGACAAAUAAGGAUUAAAGAAUUAACUAAACCUUGACUUGAGAGACACAACUACAACGACGAAAAUAAAAUCUUUUUGGGGAUUUUCACUUUGACACUCCACAUAAAACUGACACCAACAACUAUGAAAGAAAAAAUCUUUUUGAUAUUUUCAUUACAUGAAAUGUACAAAACUUCUACUACCUUUUUUUUGAAUUUUUCUUUUAUAAAAAGCUCCUAAAAAAAUCGUUUUGAAGUUUUCGAAUUGUGAAUGCUUGCUAAAUGAAACAAAAGGAAAAUCUUUUUGAUGUUUUCAUAGGCUAGCGAGGAAGGAGGCGAAGUCAGCAGUCACGGCAGCUAAGACGGCCGCUUUUGAGAGCUUGUAUGUAGGGUUACAGGAGAAAGGAGGGGAGAAAAAGUUGUUUAGACUCGCUAAGGCUAGGGAGAGGAAGGGUCGUGACCUCGAUCAGGUGAGGUGCAUUAAGGGGAAGGACGGUAGAGUGUUGGUGGAGGACGGCCACAUUAAGAAGAGAUGGCAAUCGUAUUUUCAUAGGCUCUUGAAUGACGAAGGGGAUAGAGCUAUUGUGUGGAUUUUAGCUAUUGUAGACGUUUUAAGGUAGACGAGGUUAGACAGGCAGUCCGCAGGAUGCGAAGGGGUAGGGCGACGGGGCCGGAUGAGAUACCGGUGGAGUUUUGGAAGUUCGUUGGAGAGGCUGGUGUAAGGUGGUUGACUGCAUUGUUCAAUGAAAUUUUCAGGACGGCAAAGAUGCCCGAGGCGUGGAGGUGGAGUUCCAUGGUCCCUCUCUAUAAGAAUAAGGGGGACAUUCAGAGUUGCAAUAACUAUAGGGGGAUUAAGUUAUUGAGUCACUCUAUGAAGAUCUGGGAGAGAGUAGUCGAGGUGAGGCUGAGACGGAUAGUGUCUAUUUCGGAAAACCAGUUCGGAUUUAUGCCCGGCCGCUCGACGACGGAGGCAAUUCACCUGGUACGGAGGUUGGUGGAACAGUAUAGGGAGAGGAAGAAGGAUCUGCACAUGGUGUUCAUCGACCUGGAAAAGGCGUACGACAAAGUCCCAGGGAAGUGCUUUGGAGAUGCUUGGAGGUGAGUGGAGUACCGCAGGCAUAUAUCAGAGUAAUUAAGGAUAUGUAUGAGGGAGCGAAAACCCAGGUGAGGACGGCGGGAGGAGACUCAGAGCAUUUCACUGUCCUGACAGGAUUGCACCAGGGAUCUACUCUUAGUCCCUUUUUGUUUGCGUUAGUAAUGGAUGUGUUGACGCGGCGUAUCCAAGGGGAGGUGCCGUGGUGUAUGCUUUUUGCAGACGAUGUAGUCCUGAUAGAUGAGACUCGAGGGGGUGUGAAUGACAAAUUAGAGUUGUGGAGGCAAACUCUGGAGUCUAAAGGGUUCAGGGUGAGCAGAACCAAGACAGAGUAUGUGGAAUGUAAGUUUAAUGACGUGAGGCGGGAGAAUGAGGUAGUAGUGAGGCUAGAAGCACAGGAGGUAGGGAAGAGGGAUAAGUUCAAGUAUCUCGGGUCCGUGAUCCAGAGUAACGGUGAGAUUGACGAGGAUGUCUCGCACCGUAUUGGGGCGGGAUGGAUGAAGUGGAAACUCGCAUCGGGGGUGCUGUGUGAUAAGAAGGUGCCGCCCAAGCUUAAAGGCAAAUUCUAUAGGGUGGUAGUCCGUCCGGCCUUGCUGUAUGGAGCGGAGUGUUGGCCAGUUAAGAACUCCCACAUCCAAAAAAUGAAGGUGGCAGAAAUGCGGAUGUUGCGCUGGAUGUGUGGACUGACCCGAGGGGAUAGAGUUCGGAAUGAGACUAUCCGGGAGAAGGUUGGUGUGACUUCAGUGGAGUGUAAGAUGCGGGAAGCACGAUUGAGAUGGUUCGGACACGUGAAGAGGAGGGGCACGGAUGCCCCGGUCCGUAGGUGUGAGAGGCUAGCGUUGGAUGGUUUUAGACGGGGUAGGGGUAGACCGAAGAAGUACUGGGGUGAGGUGAUUAGGCGGGACAUGGAACAGUUACAGCUCACCGAGGACAUGACCCUAGCAUGUUUUAUUACGAAUCUGUGUGCUUUCCUCUGCUUUCCUCUGUUUUAUAUUACUUAUGGGUGCCGUAUUUAUGUUAUGUAAUCGGCUUCUAUGCUUUACUAUGUGUUUGUGUGGUAUCUCGUGCCUUGAGCCGGGGGUCUAUCGGAAACAACCUUUCUACUUCAUCAGAGGUAGAGGUAUGGACUGCAUACAUCUUACCCCCCAGACCCCACUAGGUGGGAAUACACUGGGUUUGUUGUUGUUGUUGUUGUUGUUAUUUUUGAAAAAUAAGUGCAAAAAGUAAAAAAAAGUCUUUUUUUUUUUAAUUUUUGAAUCGUGGAAAACAAAAGUCAUAAAGAACUCUAAAAACUACAAAACUCUCUUUUUUUCUUUUCGACUCACUUUUCACUUUUUUUUUAAUAUUUUUUUCUCAACAUUUCUUGCCUAUGCACUUUACUUCUAACACAUGUUUUCUCCAAAUCAGUCCAUCAAAUGACCAUGUUACCCUCCAAGAUGCAACAUUUAGCACAUAGGGAUGAUUUAGAGGUGAGUGUCCUACAAAGGACCACAUGGGUCCCGCUAGGUCUCAAUAUGAUGUGGAUAAGCAUGACCUAAAGGCUGACCUACGCUAGGGUUUACUAACAAGGUUGUUCAGGGGGGCAUAUAGUCGAUAGUGGCUGCUUUACUUUCCACCCACUCCAUACGUCCGACGGCUCCCUCUCCUAAAAUAAGGGUGACUCAACUAGAGUUUGUAUACACGACGUGCACUCCAGGACUUGUUGCAGAAAUAAUUGAGACUCAACUAGAGUUUGUAUACACGACGUGCACUCCAGGACUUGUUGCAGAAAUAAUUGACUCGGGUUAAGCACAUGAUGCCAGAUAUAAAACGGUAACAUAUAGGAGAAAAAAUGUAAACACGUAGCAUGUAAGCACUCAACAAUGAUAAAAUAAACACAAACAGUAAUACAAACAAUGUUUAUACACUCAUAAUGUCAAACUAAGCCGAUACAACUCCAAAAAUAAACUCGAAUUCUGAAAAACUCCCCAGCAGAGUCGCCAGAGCUGUUACACCCCUUUUUAACUCCAAAAAAGAUUAUUUUUAUGGGUUUCAAAAGGGUUUUAUUUAUUAAAUUGACAAAAAUGAGGAUUUGUUUCGAAAAAGGUUAAUUUAUAUUUUUUAUUCAGAGUCGCCACUUGACAUAAUCCGGUGUGCCAAGACACCUUUGGAGAAUCCUUUUCGAAAUGAUUUGACUCUUUAAAAAAUCGGUUUGUGAACAAAGAUUCCGACUAAGGAAUUCUGUUGACCGAGGGGGAUGGUGUUAGGCAUCCCUCGAUCUCAUGGUUCGACCACGGUCGCUUGGUGGAGCAUAUCAGCUAAUUUGACAUUACAAAUGUACAAACCACACAAAAACACACAAACAAUCAAUCAAACACAUGAAACAAAACAAAUCCAAAAUAUAGUGUUCAGUCCAAUUAUACAGUUCAAAAUAAAAAAUGCGAAAAAAUAAAUCCUAUUCUAACCUACACUAAUCCUGAACUAUGCUCCAGUGCUUUACCCGAUGCCUCGGGCCUUCAUCACGGGCGUCCUUCGAGUACAAAAUACUGUGGGUUAUUCCCCAACAAAUAAACAAAAAUACCUCGGGGCAUUUUCCGGCCAAAUAAUACAUUUGAUCCAAAAGCAAUAAAAUCAAGCCAUUCAACACAUGUUUCGAGCAUUCAACAUUCCACAAUUCCUAAAAUUUGCCAACCCGAACCUACUAUUUGCCUACCCAACUCGACCUAUCAUGGAACUAUCACGAUCGACGACGUCAAUGAAUCAAAACAACAAAAAAAUUAAAAUUAAUCCUAAUUCACUUUAGCAAUUUUUCAAUUCCGCACCAAAUUCAUUCUCAACCAAUGAUUAACACAUGCAUCGAUUAUCAAUUCAUUUUUCAACAUUCAAAUCCAACAUCAACCAAUACACAAUCAAGAUUCAAACAUAACAACACAUAAAUCAUUCACGAUUACGUAAAAAUUAAAAAAAGAAAAGAUAGAAUUAGACCUCAGUGCUUUCAAAAAUCAAUGUAUUAUUUCGAUCAACCCGGUAGAAUCCGCGUCCGAAAUCCUCGAACAAAACCCCCAAUCACGAUCAAGAAUCCAACUCGGUAUCAAGAAAGUGAAGCCCAAAAUUGAUUACGGUGAAUUGAUCAGGACGAAACAAAAUCUAAAUCCCAAAAUCAGUUCGAAGACAGAUGAGCUAAGACCAAAAUUGCAACAGACUAAAUCGAACCCGUUAAAAUUCUCAGCAAACGAACUCACAACUUGAACAAAAAAAAACCCCAAAACCCGAACUAACCCGAACAAUCCCACUAAACCAUUUCAAUUUUUAUCAUUUUUCGACGAAAAUUGGUCAGAAUAAACUGAAACGGCUCAAAUUUUUAUGGAUUAGAUGGAUGACUUACCUUUCGACGAGAUUCGGACGAAAAACCGGGAUCGGGACUGACUUCUUGAUGUGAGUAUGGUUGGAACGAGAUUAGCGGAGCUUUCUCGGUGGCGAUUCUAGUGAGUCACCGGCGAGAACUUCGCCGGAAGGCAGUCCAACGGCCUCUAUGUCUCUCUCUCGAUCUCUCUGGCUCGCUCAAAUCUCUCUUACCUUCAACGAUUUCUCACUGUUUCUCUUUUAACUCUCUAUGCCUCUCUCCAUCUCUCACUCUCACUCUCCUCUCUUCUCCUUACCGUGUGUAUUUUCUGAGUUUUCAGUGAGCUGGUGAAAAUGCUAUGCCAGUGUAAUUGGGGAUUUUGUGGUGAUUAGUGAAUAAGAAAAGGAAAAAAAAUGUGCGAUGUGUUCUAUGUUGAGAAAAAAAAGAAUCCUGUGGUGCGUAUGUUCUGUGUAUAUGGAUUGGUCAAGAAGAAAAGAAAAUCUCCUGUACCUAUGUGUUUUUGGAAAAAUGGAAAAGAAGACCAAAGAGAAAGGAAAAAAAGGUCUCCCCUAAUCUAUUCCAGUGAAUGGAAAUUAUAUCGAUGGAAUGUGGGGUCCAUGAGUGAGGUGUCUAUUUUGAUUGAGUAGGUUAUUAGGAUAAGGUGUAAAGUUGGUUAGAAUAGAAAUAAAACAAGAUAAAGUAUGUUAGGGAUUAUGUUAAGGGUUGUUAUUUUUUUUUUUUUUGUGAGGUAUAAUUACAUGGAUAAGGGUGUACAAUAAAGUGAGG